RNAcentral lists this ribosomal RNA (468 nucleotides) under uncultured bacterium. RNAcentral's name for it is "partial 16S ribosomal RNA". It matches the Rfam family "Bacterial small subunit ribosomal RNA", at positions 28 to 507 of the family's 1533-position model. The record is from RNAcentral.
GACGAACGCUGGCGGCGUGCUUAACACAUGCAAGUCGAACGGAAAGGCCCUGCUUUUGUGCUGUGCCCGAGUGGCGAACGGGUGAGUAACACGUGAGUAACCUGCCCUUGACUUUGGGAUAACUUCAGGAAACUGGGGCUAAUACCGGAUAGGAGCUCCUGCUGCAUGGUGGGGGUUGGAAAGUUUCGGCGGUUGGGGAUGGAUUCGCGGCUUACCAGCUUGUUGGUGGGGUAGUGGCUUACCAAGGCUGUGACGGGUCGCCCGCCUGGGAGGGUGACCGGGGUCAUUGGGACUGAGAGACGGACCAGUGUCGAACGGGAGGCAGCAGGGGGGAAUAUGGUACAGCGGGCGGGAGCCGGAUGCGGCAGCGCUCGGUGCGGAAAGACGGCCUGCUGGUUGUGAACCGCAUUAGCCUGAGACGAAGCGUGGGUGACGGUAAUGGGUGAAGAAGCACCGGCUAACUACGUG